This 72-nucleotide transfer RNA is filed under the name Marmota monax (woodchuck). RNAcentral describes it as "tRNA.Val". It matches the Rfam family "tRNA". From Rfam's summary of the family: Transfer RNA (tRNA) molecules are approximately 80 nucleotides in length. The record is from RNAcentral. Lineage: Eukaryota; Metazoa; Chordata; Mammalia; Rodentia; Sciuridae.
GGGGAUAUAGCUCAGUUGGUAAAGUGAGUGCCUCACAUGCACAAGGCCCUGGGUUCAAUCCCCAGCACCACG